RNAcentral lists this unclassified non-coding RNA (330 nucleotides) under soil metagenome. RNAcentral describes it as "partial contains 5.8S ribosomal RNA, internal transcribed spacer 2, and large subunit ribosomal RNA". The stretch from base 1 to 120 matches the Rfam family "5.8S ribosomal RNA", at positions 35 to 154 of the family's 154-position model. The record is from RNAcentral.
GAUGAAGAACGUAGCGAAAUGCGAUAAGUAAUGUGAAUUGCAGAAUUCAGUGAAUCAUCGAAUCUUUGAACGCACAUUGCGCCCUCUGGUAUUCCGGGGGGCAUGCCUGUUCGAGCGUCAUUACAACCCUCAAGCUUUGCUUGGUAUUGGACAUUGCCAGUUUCUGGCAGGUCUUAAAAUCAGUGGCGGUGCCAUUUGGCUUCAAGCGUAGUAAUUCUUCUCGCUUUGGAGAUCCAACUGGUUACUUGCCAAUAACCCCCAAUUUUUUCAGGUUGACCUCGGAUCAGGUAGGGAUACCCGCUGAACUUAAGCAUAUCAAUAAGCGGAGGA